UACGUAGGUGGCAAGCGUUGUCCGGAUUUACUGGGCGUAAAGAGCGCGCAGGCGGUCGUACAAGUCGCGUGUGAAAGCCCCCGGCUCAACUGGGGAGGGUCACGCGAUACUGUUCGACUCGAAGGCAGGAGAGGGAAGUGGAAUUCCCGGUGUAGUGGUGAAAUGCGUAGAUAUCGUAAGGAAGACCAGUGGCGAAGGCGGGUCUCUGGACAGUUCCUGACGCUGAGGCACGAAGGUCAGGGGAGCAAACGGG
This 253-nucleotide ribosomal RNA is filed under the name uncultured bacterium. RNAcentral describes it as "partial 16S ribosomal RNA". It matches the Rfam family "Bacterial small subunit ribosomal RNA", at positions 524 to 776 of the family's 1533-position model. The record is from RNAcentral.